AAAACGACUCUCGACAACGGAUAUCUAGGCUCUCGCAUCGAUGAAGAACGUAGCAAAAUGCGAUACUUGGUGUGAAUUGCAGAAUCCCGUGAACCAUCGAGUUUUUGAACGCAAGUUGCGCCCGAAGCCAUUAGGCUGAGGGCACGUCUGCCUGGGCGUCACGCA
Molecule: ribosomal RNA, 165 nt
Filed under: Urophyllum congestiflorum
Lineage: Eukaryota; Viridiplantae; Streptophyta; Magnoliopsida; Gentianales; Rubiaceae
Also listed under: 1 other name
Description: 5.8S ribosomal RNA
Rfam family: 5.8S ribosomal RNA
About the family: 5.8S ribosomal RNA (5.8S rRNA) is a component of the large subunit of the eukaryotic ribosome. It is transcribed by RNA polymerase I as part of the 45S precursor that also contains 18S and 28S rRNA.
Source: RNAcentral